AAGAGAGUCAAAGAGUGCUUGA
This 22-nucleotide small nuclear RNA is filed under the name Arabidopsis thaliana (thale cress). Its description in RNAcentral is "snRNA_11734". The record is from RNAcentral. Lineage: Eukaryota; Viridiplantae; Streptophyta; Magnoliopsida; Brassicales; Brassicaceae.